GACGAACGCUGGCGGUAUGCUUAACACAUGCAAGUCGAACGAGAAGUUUUUUAUUGAACCUUCGGGGGAUAUAAGAGACAGACAGUGGCGAACGGGUGAGUAACGCGUGGGCAACCUACCUAUCGGAGCGGGAUAGCCUCGAGAAAUCGGGAGUAAAACCGCAUAACACGGAUAUAUCGCAUGAUGAAUCCGUCAAAACUCCGGUGCCGAUAGAUGGGCCCGCGUCUGAUUAGCUAGUUGGUAAGGUAAGGGCUUACCAAGGCAACGAUCAGUAGCCGGUCUGAGAGGGCGAACGGCCACACUGGAACUGAGACACGGUCCAAACUCCUACGGGAGGCAGCAGUGGGGAAUAUUGGACAAUGGGGGAAACCCUGAUCCAGCGACGCCGCGUGAGUGAAGAAGUAUUUCGGUAUGUAAAGCCCUAUCAGCAGGGAAGAAAAUGACGGUACCUGACUAAGAAGCCCCGGCUAACUACGUGCCAGCAGCCGCGGUAAUACGUAGGGGGCAAGCGUUAUCCGGAUUUACUGGGUGUAAAGGGAGCGCAGACGGCAAUGCAAGUCUGAAGUGAAAGGCGUGGGCUCAACCCAUGAACUGCUUUGGAAACUGUAUAGCUUGAGUGUCGGAGGGGUAAGCGGAAUUCCUAGUGUAGCGGUGAAAUGCGUAGAUAUUAGGAGGAACACCGGAGGCGAAGGCGGCUUACUGGACGACAACUGACGUUGAGGCUCGAAGGCGUGGGGAGCAAGCAGG
Molecule: ribosomal RNA, 747 nt
Filed under: uncultured Streptococcus sp.
Lineage: Bacteria; Bacillati; Bacillota; Bacilli; Lactobacillales; Streptococcaceae
Description: bacterial SSU rRNA
Rfam family: Bacterial small subunit ribosomal RNA
Source: RNAcentral